GGUGAGCUGGCUGCUUCAAGUGUCAUGCCACUCAUCACUAGGGUUGACCCAGAUGUUCUGGCUGACUGGGAAGGUGCUCCCUUUCUCC
RNAcentral lists this small RNA (88 nucleotides) under Myotis lucifugus (little brown bat). RNAcentral describes it as "7SK RNA (ENSMLUG00000025013.1)". Lineage: Eukaryota; Metazoa; Chordata; Mammalia; Chiroptera; Vespertilionidae. The record is from RNAcentral.